UAAGGACAGCUUAGAGCGCGCC
Molecule: unclassified non-coding RNA, 22 nt
Filed under: Chlamydomonas reinhardtii
Lineage: Eukaryota; Viridiplantae; Chlorophyta; Chlorophyceae; Chlamydomonadales; Chlamydomonadaceae
Description: small RNA Cre_2146
Source: RNAcentral